Eriocheir sinensis (Chinese mitten crab) is the source of this 288-nucleotide long non-coding RNA. RefSeq lists it as uncharacterized. The transcript is spliced from 3 exons. The record is from RefSeq and is a predicted model, not a curated record. Lineage: Eukaryota; Metazoa; Arthropoda; Malacostraca; Decapoda; Varunidae.
CACCCAAACACGACGAAUGUACCUCUUGCUGUCUCGCUCACCGGAAAGCCAUGUGCAGAAGCUACGAACUUACUAAGGGUUGUGGGAGGAGGGAAGCGAGCAGCUUUAGUCUCCAAAAGCAAGUGGAUGCCAGUAGAACCAACGUCGUUGUGGACGCUGGUGGAGAGAGAAAAAAUGUUUGCACAGGAAAAUGUCUACUUCACUGACUGCGUUCUACGUCACAUGCAUCAGUACCGCUUCAUUGCACAUUUUGACACUGACGAAGUGCCCAUUUUGCCCAAGCAUGAC